This 274-nucleotide ribosomal RNA is filed under the name uncultured bacterium. Its description in RNAcentral is "partial 16S ribosomal RNA". It matches the Rfam family "Bacterial small subunit ribosomal RNA", at positions 523 to 796 of the family's 1533-position model. The record is from RNAcentral.
AUACAGAGGGUGCAAGCGUUAAUCGGAAUUACUGGGCGUAAAGCGCGCGUAGGCGGUUUAAUCAGUCGGAUGUGAAAGCCCCGGGCUCAACCUGGGAACUGCAUUCGAUACUGUUAAGCUAGAGUAUGGUAGAGGGAAGUGGAAUUCCAGGUGUAGCGGUGAAAUGCGUAGAUAUCUGGAGGAACAUCAGUGGCGAAGGCGACUUCCUGGACCAAUACUGACGCUGAGGUGCGAAAGCGUGGGGAACAAACAGGAUUAGAAACCCUUGUAGUCC